GGAAUUGUUCGCAAUGGGCGCAAGCCUGACGACGCAACGCCGCGUGGAGGACGAAGAUCUUCGGGUCGUAAACUCCUGUCGAGCGGGAAGAAACCCGCGGGGAUGAAUAAUCCCUGCGGCUGACGGUACCGCUAAAGGAAGCCCCGGCUAACUCUGUGCCAGCAGCCGCGGUAAUACAGAGGGGGCUAGCGUUGUUCGGAAUUACUGGGCGUAAAGGGCGCGUAGGUGGCCUGCUAAGUCGAACGUGAAAUCCCCGGGCUCAACCCGGGAACUGCGUCCGAGACUGGCAGGCUCGAAUCCGGGAGAGGGAUGUGGAAUUCCAGGUGUAGCGGUGAAAUGCGUAGAUAUCUGGAGGAACACCGGUGGCGAAGGCGGCAUCCUGGACCGGUAUUGACGCUGAGGCGCGAAAGCCAGGGGAGCAAA
This 423-nucleotide ribosomal RNA is filed under the name uncultured bacterium. RNAcentral's name for it is "bacterial SSU rRNA". It matches the Rfam family "Bacterial small subunit ribosomal RNA", at positions 358 to 772 of the family's 1533-position model. The record is from RNAcentral.